GAGUUUGAUCCUGGCUCAGGAUGAACGCUAGCGGCAGGCUUAAUACAUGCAAGUCAAGGGGGUAGCAAUACAACCGGCGCACGGGUGAGUAACGCGUACACAACAUACCAUAUACUGGAGUAUAGCUUUGGGAAACUGAAGGUAAUCCUCCAUAACAUUGCGAGAGGGCAUCUGAUUGUAAUUAAAGUUUCGGCGGUAUAUGAUUGGUGUGCGUUUGAUUAGCUAGUUGGUAGGGUAACGGCCAACCAAGGCGACGAUCAAUAGCUGGCGUGAGAGCGCGACCAGCCACACUGGAACUGAGACACGGUCCAGACUCCUACGGGAGGCAGCAGUAGGGAAUAUUGGACAAUGGAGGAAACUCUGAUCCAGCCAUGCCGCGUGAUAGAUGAAGGCCCUCUGGGUUGUAAAUAUCUUUUAUCUGGGAAGAAACACUCCUAUUCUUAGGAACUUGACGGUACCAGAGGAAUAAGCACCGGCUAACUCCGUG
RNAcentral lists this ribosomal RNA (487 nucleotides) under uncultured bacterium. RNAcentral's name for it is "bacterial SSU rRNA". It matches the Rfam family "Bacterial small subunit ribosomal RNA", at positions 9 to 507 of the family's 1533-position model. The record is from RNAcentral.